This 82-nucleotide transfer RNA is filed under the name Rhipicephalus sanguineus (brown dog tick). RNAcentral's name for it is "transfer RNA serine (anticodon UGA)". It matches the Rfam family "tRNA". Rfam says of the family: Transfer RNA (tRNA) molecules are approximately 80 nucleotides in length. Their secondary structure includes four short double-helical elements and three loops (D, anti-codon, and T loops). Further hydrogen bonds mediate the characteristic L-shaped molecular structure. tRNAs have two regions of fundamental functional importance: the anti-codon, which is responsible for specific mRNA codon recognition, and the 3' end, to which the tRNAs corresponding amino acid is attached (by aminoacyl-tRNA synthetases). tRNAs cope with the degeneracy of the genetic code in two manners: having more than one tRNA (with a specific anti-codon) for a particular amino acid; and 'wobble' base-pairing, i.e. permitting non-standard base-pairing at the 3rd anti-codon position. The record is from Rfam by way of RNAcentral. Lineage: Eukaryota; Metazoa; Arthropoda; Arachnida; Ixodida; Ixodidae.
GCAGUCGUGGCCGAGCGGUUAAGGCGGUGGACUUGAAAUCCAUUGGGGUCUCCCCGCACAGGUUCGAAUCCUGUCGACUGCG